UGGAAACGGCUGAUAAAACCGCAUAACCGCACAGUUGCCGCAUGGCACAGUGUGAAAAACUCCGGUGGUAUGAGAUGGACCCGCGUCUGAUUAGCUUGUUGGUGAGGUAACGGCCCACCAAGGCGACGAUCAGCUAGCCGGCCUGAGAGGGUGACCGGCCACAUUGGGACUGAGACACGGCCCAAACUCCUACGGGAGGCAGCAGUGGGGAAUAUUGCACAAUGGGGGAAACCCUGAUGCAGCGACGCCGCGUGAAGGAAGAAGUAUCUCGGUAUGUAAACUUCUAUCAGCAGGGAAGAUAAUGACGGUACCUGACUAAUAAGCCCCGGGUAACUACGUGCCAGCAGCCGCGGUAAUACGUAGGGGGCAAGCGGUAUCCGGAUUUACUGGGUGUAAAGGGAGCGUAGGCGGCGGAGCAAGUCAGAAGUGAAAGCCCGGGGCUCAACCCCGGGACGGCUUUUGAAACUGCCCUGCUUGAUUUCAGGAGAGGAAAGCGGAAUUCCUAGUGUAGCGGUGAAAUGCGUAGAUAUUAGGAGGAACACCAGUGGCGAAGGCGGCUUUCUGGACUGACAAUGACGCUGAGGCUCGAAAGCGUGGGGAGCAAACAGGAUUAGAUACCCUGGUAGUCCACGCC
Molecule: ribosomal RNA, 634 nt
Filed under: uncultured bacterium
Lineage: Bacteria
Description: bacterial SSU rRNA
Rfam family: Bacterial small subunit ribosomal RNA
Source: RNAcentral